This is a long non-coding RNA of Sebastes umbrosus (honeycomb rockfish), 313 nucleotides long. RefSeq lists it as uncharacterized. The record is from RefSeq and is a predicted model, not a curated record. The transcript has 2 exons. Lineage: Eukaryota; Metazoa; Chordata; Actinopteri; Perciformes; Sebastidae.
UGCUCAGUACAUCUUCCUCCUGAGACUCGAGGCUGAUUAGUUUUCUGCUGGCUGGAAUGAUCAUCCCAUCAGGACAGAGGGUUGCCUUUCCCCGAACUAGCUGUGGGAGCUCGGGAUGCUGCAGCACGACAUCUGAGGAGAAUGUGGGAUCCGAAUUGAGGAUAUUGGAGAGCUCCGGGCUAUUCCAGGUAUAUAUACAUGUAUGUACACGUAUGUAUGCAGCACACAGGUGUGUACACACACGUAUGUAUGUACCAGAUAUUUGCCCGAUGUCAAUUCAUUUUCUUGACACAAAUAAAUAUGUUUGAUGUCA